UACGUAGGGUGCGAGCGUUAAUCGGAAUUACUGGGCGUAAAGCGUGCGCAGGCGGUUUGUUAAGACAGAUGUGAAAUCCCCGGGCUUAACCUGGGAACUGCAUUUGUGACUGGCAAGCUAGAGUAUGGCAGAGGGGGGUAGAAUUCCACGUGUAGCAGUGAAAUGCGUAGAGAUGUGGAGGAAUACCGAUGGCGAAGGCAGCCCCCUGGGCCAAUACUGACGCUCAUGCACGAAAGCGUGGGGAUCAAACAGG
RNAcentral lists this ribosomal RNA (253 nucleotides) under uncultured bacterium. RNAcentral describes it as "partial 16S ribosomal RNA". It matches the Rfam family "Bacterial small subunit ribosomal RNA", at positions 524 to 776 of the family's 1533-position model. The record is from RNAcentral.